This is an RNA transcript of Brienomyrus brachyistius, 5650 nucleotides long. It is a transcript of the gene named vacuolar protein sorting-associated protein 8 homolog, with no coding region annotated. NCBI's taxonomy places the organism in Eukaryota, Metazoa, Chordata, Actinopteri, Osteoglossiformes, Mormyridae. The record is from RefSeq and is a predicted model, not a curated record. The transcript is spliced from 45 exons.
CAUGUGAUCGCAAAGUGAAAGCAGGGAAGGCGCUCGAGCACGAGACAGGCGUGUGAUAAUGUCGCGAAUAGAUGAAGAGCUACGGCUUGUCUUGGGGACCGACUUGCCCGAAGUUCUGGAGCUGGAUGACCAGGAGUUUCAGAUCCCACAAGUGGAGGAUGUCCCUACCCUUGAGAGCAUCUUGGAUGAGAAUGCUGCCCUGGAUGACGAGGCUAGCUUCUUACUGCCUGAUGACUUCACCAUCCCCACACUGGAUGCAGAGGCAAAAGCUGCAGCGAAGCAGGAAAGUGAUGAGGAACUUCUGGAAGAAGAGCAUGGAGUGAUGCCCCCUUCACAUUCUCAAUGGGUCAGAGAUCCUUUGCUUCCAGUGGUUUCCCAGGAUCCUGUGCUACAGAUCAACACCCUGAGAGGCGUCUCUGCCCAAGUCGUCUCUGCUGUGGGCCGUUAUGAUGGCGGAAGGACUUCUGCCUUGGCUGUCUGUGGGAUUAUCGCCGUGGGAACCACGACGGGACAGUUGCUGAUUUUUGAUGCCAGUCAGGUGCUGAAACUGUGCUUGGGGAGCCCGGCUCUCGGGGCGCAGCAUGGACCUGUAUCAGCCCUGGGCUUUAACUCCGACAGCACCUGCAUCCUCUGUGCAUUUACCAAAGGACAGAUUCUUCAGUGGGAUGUGGAGUCUGGAAAACUGCUGCGGAGCAUCUCCGGUGUGGUUCCAGCGGGGAACGCAGUCCUUGCUGUCAAGUUCACCAGUGACCCCACUGUGGCCGUGUGCAGUGACAGUGCAGGCUCUGUGUUUGAGCUUUAUUUCAAGCGGUCUUUGGGGGCGCGGACGUGGGACUCCCGCUGCUUGUUCAGCUGUGAGAAGGGGACGGUGCGCUGCAUCUCGCCGCUGUGCCUGCGAGAGGAUUUCAGCGCACACCCUGCAGCACAGUGCCUCCUGCUGGCCAUGGUGUCGUUCCGGAAGCUUUUGAUUGUCAGACAGAAGCCGGAGCUGAGAGUGAUCUAUGCAUCUAAGGCCCAUGCUGAUUGCGUCCCCAGCCUCUCCUGGCGUCUCUUGACCUUCAGAGACUCUGCAGACCCAGUGCUGGCUUUCUGCCAAAGUUGCUCUUUCUCUCUCUAUCAGGUCAGCUUUGCUGAAGAAGACUUGAAAGUGAUCAAAAUGAUAGAUUACAGUGUCCCUUUUGAAAUUCUCAACUUUAAGUGGCUGAGCUCCAGCACUUUGCUGAUCCUGGAUACUGCAGAGAAGCUCCAUGCCUUGGACAGGGAAACUGGGAUGGAGCUCCAGGAGCUGCAGCUAGUGAACCUGCAGCUGGUCAGCACCUCCACAAAGCCCACAGGAGACCAGGCACAGCUGAAGCGUGUAACGUACCAGUCAGUGUGUGCUCACAGUGGAAAAGUUCUCCUUCUGGGAGAUAAGGCCGUGCAGGUGGUGUCUCUGAAAACAUGGGAAGAGAGAUUGGAUGACCUUGUGAGGCAGGACCGGCACGGUGAUUCUUUGGGUCUCGCCUGGAAGUUUUACGAAGGAAGUGCCAAGGCAGUCGUGGGUCUGCCUGCAGAAACUAAACUGAAGGAAGAGGUAGUAGCAUGUAAGGUGGGAAAGAUACUGUUGGAUUAUGUGGAGUUCUUGCUGAGAAGGUGUCCUGAUCAAGGGAAGAUACAGGUCAUGGAGGGACACUUCCAGAAAACUCUUCCACUCUGUGUCACCUGCUGCGUUAAGUUCAAUAAAACGGAGGUGCUGUUCGGAGAGCUGUAUGAGAAGCUGCUGGACUACGUGGUUGCGAUUGGGGUGCUGUUCCAGUGUCUGGAGCCCCACAUCAUUUCUGGCAAGCUGAGCAGCAUCCCACCCCUUGUCAUGAAGGACAUGGUGGCACACUACACAGACCACGGCAUGACUGAGCUCCUGGACACGCUUAUCCCUCACCUGGAUGUCAGGACCCUCGACCUCCAUCAGGUUGUUCGCUUAUCCCGAGAGCACAAGCUCACUGAUGCUCUCAUCCAUGUGUUUAACAAAGGGAUGAAUGAUUACGUCACACCACUAGAGGAGCUGAUUAGCAGUAUGACCCAGGCAUCUCACGCUGGGGGAGGAGAUGAGCAUGUGAAAGUCGGAAACAAGGUUUUAGUCUACAUCAGCUGCUGCCUGUCUGGCAAGGCCUACCCCUAUGGCUCAAUACUGCCCCCUAUGGUGGAGACUGUAAAAACACAGGUGUUCACUUGCCUCACCAAAGUGUGGGUGAAGGAUGUGGAGGCGAGCGAAGGACCAUACCUGUUAAUUCGGACGUUGCUUCAGCACAACACAAAGGAAUUCCUCAACGUGAUGUCGCUGGCAUUUGAAGAUCUGCAAGACAAACAAGCAAUUGAGUUUCAUCAACGAGUGAUCGACAUACUUUUGCAGGUCAUGCUGGAGAGCACAGGCUUCAGUCCCUCUCAGAUCGGGAGCCUUUUCACUUUCCUGGCCCGGCAGCUGGCCAAGGCCAAGGAUGCCCUCUUUGUAAACCAUCAGCUAUUCCAUCAGGCGCUUGAUUUUCUGUGCAACCCAGCGGAUACGACCCAGCAAGCAGAGAGACAACAGGCCCUGCUGGACCUCCUGAGUGCUGGUGGUGCUGCCUACUUUGAGGAGUCCAAGCUGCUCUCCAUGGCUGAGGCCGUGCAGUUUUAUCAGGUGUGUGAAUUUCUGUAUGAGCAGAAGCGCCUUUAUCAUCAGAUCCUUGCCUGUUAUCUGAAAGACCCUGCAAGAAAGGGUGAGACUCUGCAAUACUUGGACGAUGUCAUGAGCUCUGGUGAACUGACAGAUGAGCAGAAGGUGCUUUUGCAGAAUGAAAUCAUCUGCAACCUGCAAGAGCUGCUGUCUUUAGACCCAAGCCUCACCGCUUCCCUCGUCCUGCGACAUCUCGAGGGCAGUGUCCCCCUCAUCUUGGAAGUCUUACAGCAGAACACAAAAUCGCUGUUUGACUUUCUUCACGGACUGUUCAACCCUAGAGUGGAUCUGUGGCCUUUUAAAGCCUCCAGCCUGUUGGACCACACCUACCAUGAGAAAUACCUGGACCUGCUGUGUCAGACUGAGCCAGACUGCGUCAUGGACUUCCUCAAACUGUCAGACACCUACCGGCCAGAAGAGGCAGUUGAAAUCACUCGCAAACACAAGGUCCAUGAUGCACUGGCAUAUCUGCUGGAGAAGCAGGGAAAGACUGAAGCUUCAUUUUCAGUCCUCAUGGAGUGUGUUAAAGUGAGUUUGCAGAACUCGAGUUGUCCUGACCUAGCGGAUCGUGAAGGGAGUCUGGGUGAAGAGACUAACCCCUUUCAGGAGGUCCAGUCAGUGUUGCGUGAUGUCAUGGCCUUCCUACAGCGGGUGUCGGGCACUUUGGACAGCAAGCAAAGAGAUGACUUGUGGUUUUCGCUCCUCAGCUUUCUGCUGUCCCCUGCUGAGCGGAUACAGUGCCCCUUAUCGGCUGACGUUGAGAGAGGCAUUAAAAACCUCACCAAGGAGGUGAUAGAAAGCAUGACUUCCUACAUCCCUCUAAUGGACAUCCUCCAGCAGCUUAUGCAGGAUUCGCUUCACAACGUCGGCAGCUACGGGGAAGUGAAGACAUUGAUUUCUGGCAUAAUUGAUGCUUACGUCUAUGAGAAAACCCUCAUGGAGGCGGCCAGUAGCCUUUUCAGCCAGGACUUGCACUGGUAUCUUUGCAGCCUGCGAUCUGCCGUGUCACGUGGCCUUGCCCCCUCCCAUCAACGAUGUGGGGUGUGCACUCAGAGGUACAGCUGGGGGGGGGGCAACUCCCAGGCCCGGCUCGUCGUUUUCAGCUGCGGCCAUGUUUACCACUAUGGCUGCCUUCAGAACAGCCUGAGACAACAGGAGGCUCAGGCCCCGGAGUGGGCCUGUUUAAAGUGCCAGUCACCUAAGAGGAAGUGGUUUCCCAUCACAGCUGAGAAGGCUGAACAAGAGUCUGAGUUAACAGAGCUGGAUCGGGCUCAGAUUGCAGCUUCAGAUUCUCUGAAGAGAGCCUUCAAGAACCCUUCUCGGGUACGUCACAUUCUCCAGCCUUUUACUCCAAGCUUGAAUAGUUGUGCUUUAUCUACCCUUAAAACCUAAGCAAAUAUGAUGUUCUUAUUCCUCCAUGAACUCCUUUCUCAUACGUGAAGAGUUCUGUCUGGGUUAAAGGUCAGCUGAAUGACGUAGUUGUGCGUAGCAGGUGUCAUUGCAGAAAUAGCGACAAGGCGAGAGUCCGUUUCGGUCAGGUUUCUGUCAGCUGACUCAGUACUGUGAAAUUUACAUGUGUGAUUUACAUAUAUGUUUAGGUAUUGAUAAUGAUGAUAAAAACAGCAUUACUCUUGCUGUUUGAGCGUUGCAGCUAAUUUCCAUUAUGCUCACACUAUAUGACUUUUCCACUCACCGCUUUCCAGAUUUUCCACUCGCUGCUGUGCCACUGUUGAUCUUGCCAUCAUGCAUUAAGCACCCCGUGCCUGCACCGGUCUGCACCGGUCUGUACCGGUCUGCCCCUGCAUCGAGACUGAAAUUUCAACCCCUGUAUUAGCUUAAAUUAUACAAUCUUGUUUUGUUUGACUCUUCUGCCGGCCCCUGGAGGAUGGGCCCCCCCUUUGGGUCUGGUCCCUCCCAAGGUUUCUUCCUCUUAGGGAGUUUUUCCUUGCCACCGUUGCCUUUGGCUUACUCACUGGGGGGUCUUUACGUGGCAGAAAUGUAAAGCGCAUUGAGACAAUGUAAUGUUGUGAUAAUGCGCUAUAUAAAUAGAAUUGCAUUGCAUUGCAUUGCAUUGCUAACAAAAGGCCCAGAUUGGAGGAAAAUUGGUGCGUGAUCUGUGCUGGCGAAUUGGUGCUCAGUCGCUAUGUGUAAACCACAGGUGUCAAACUCUGGAGCCCUUCGCAGUUUUUGAUUUCCCCUCAUUUAGCACACCUGAUUCAACUCUUUGUGCUAAUUACCACACAGCUUCUGAACUGAAUCAUUUGUGGUGGAACAGGGAAAGAACUAAGCUACACAGAACUCAGCGCCCCCAGGACUCGAGUUUGACACCCCUGGUGUAAACUGUUCAAAGACCCGACCCAAUGGAAUCACCGAUGCAUCGCAGACACCCAUCAGAAAUUUCGCAUGCCAAAUAUCUUAUUAUUGUAUAUUGAUUUUUUGCAUGCUAGACUUAUUAUUAUUAUUAUUAUUAUUAUUAUUAUUAUUAUUUAUUAUAAAUAUCUUACUAUUCCUGUAGUGUGAAAAGUGUAACUGGCAAUGAGUGUGGUGAUGAGCAAUAGCUACUGAAAGCGGAAGACUUGGGGUGAGGUGAAACCCAAGGGUUAAUUUGUCGUGCAUUUGUGAAUGGCAUGCGUAUGUGUUGCCAUCUAAUUAAAGUGUUUUAACAGUUUGUAACACAUUGACAUUUAUAAUUGUGAUUUUUUUCCAGUGUCAUUCACGUGUGGUUUUGUAACAAAACGUAGUUUGGAGACCAGACAGACGCAUCAGCGAUUCCUCCCGGUGAAAUACCUUGUAGUGCAUGAGCCCUGCCGUUGAUCAGUCGUAUUUCCAUUUUGAUGGAACUCACCGGACGAGAGAUGCCUGGCCGGGAUUCCUUCAAGCAGAAGCCUGGCAUCUUCCAACCUGGGAUUAAGGAGCUGCCUGAAUUCAAACUGAAUCUAGCUCCACCACCUUUGAUAG